This 234-nucleotide ribosomal RNA is filed under the name Clostridium novyi B str. NCTC 9691. Its description in RNAcentral is "partial 23S ribosomal RNA". It matches the Rfam family "Bacterial large subunit ribosomal RNA", at positions 2695 to 2925 of the family's 2925-position model. The record is from RNAcentral. Lineage: Bacteria; Bacillati; Bacillota; Clostridia; Eubacteriales; Clostridiaceae.
GGAUGGACCAACCUCUGGUGCACCAGUUGUUCCGCCAGGAGCACAGCUGGGUAGCUAUGUUGGGAAGGGAUAAACGCUGAAAGCAUCUAAGCGUGAAGCCCACCUCAAGAUUAGAUUUCCCAUAGCGUAAGCUAGUAAGACCCCUGAAAGACUAUCAGGUUGAUAGGUUGGAGGUGUAAGUACAGUAAUGUAUUCAGCUGACCAAUACUAAUAGGUCGAGGGCUUGAUCAAAUA